This 519-nucleotide ribosomal RNA is filed under the name Salmonella enterica subsp. enterica serovar Minnesota. RNAcentral describes it as "partial 16S ribosomal RNA". It matches the Rfam family "Bacterial small subunit ribosomal RNA", at positions 996 to 1515 of the family's 1533-position model. The record is from RNAcentral. Lineage: Bacteria; Pseudomonadati; Pseudomonadota; Gammaproteobacteria; Enterobacterales; Enterobacteriaceae. RNAcentral also lists the same sequence under 2 other names.
CUUUCCAGAGAUGGAUUGGUGCCUUCGGGAACUGUGAGACAGGUGCUGCAUGGCUGUCGUCAGCUCGUGUUGUGAAAUGUUGGGUUAAGUCCCGCAACGAGCGCAACCCUUAUCCUUUGUUGCCAGCGGUCCGGCCGGGAACUCAAAGGAGACUGCCAGUGAUAAACUGGAGGAAGGUGGGGAUGACGUCAAGUCAUCAUGGCCCUUACGACCAGGGCUACACACGUGCUACAAUGGCGCAUACAAAGAGAAGCGACCUCGCGAGAGCAAGCGGACCUCAUAAAGUGCGUCGUAGUCCGGAUUGGAGUCUGCAACUCGACUCCAUGAAGUCGGAAUCGCUAGUAAUCGUGGAUCAGAAUGCCACGGUGAAUACGUUCCCGGGCCUUGUACACACCGCCCGUCACACCAUGGGAGUGGGUUGCAAAAGAAGUAGGUAGCUUAACCUUCGGGAGGGCGCUUACCACUUUGUGAUUCAUGACUGGGGUGAAGUCGUAACAAGGUAACCGUAGGGGAACCUGC